RNAcentral lists this long non-coding RNA (1701 nucleotides) under Homo sapiens (human). RNAcentral's name for it is "HSALNT0234019". The record is from RNAcentral. Lineage: Eukaryota; Metazoa; Chordata; Mammalia; Primates; Hominidae.
GAUUCAUGCAAGGCCCUCGGGUGAGGGACUGUCGAUCCCGACAGCCAUGCCAGCGCAGGGCCAAGAAAGAAUGUCCUGGAAGGGUGGGGAUGGGUUGGGCUUUCUGAACCCUCCCACCUCAGGAAGGCAAAAGACACAGAUCACAGGCAGCAAGGGGCUGCCAUUUCUGAUGCUUAUACCCUCCACGGUGGCUACAGGAGCCCGCACCAGCAGUGGGAGGAGCAACAUUCCAGAAGCUGCUUCUCUCUGCACCGAUGCAGAAACUGUGCCUGCCAGAUAGUAAUGAUCCAGCCGAGGGCACCAGGCUACAAUUUGCAGAACUGGACUGAAGAAUGGCUGACAUAGCCAGCUGCAGUGGCUCAUGCUUGUAAUCCCAACAGUUUAGGAGGCCAAAGCAGGAGGAUCACUUGAAGUCAUGAGUUCAAGACCAGCCUGAGCAACAUGGCAAGACCCCAUCUCUAUAAAAAAUACAAUAAUUAGCAGGGCAUGGUCGCACAUGUCUGUAGUCCCAGCUGCUUGGUAGGCUGAGGCGGAUGGAUCAUUUCAGCCCAGGAGGCAAGACUGCAGUGAGCCAUGAGUAUGCCACUGCACUCCAGCCUGGGUGACAAAAGAAAAAAAAAAUAGAAUGGAUGAUAUAAACUUUAUUGUUUACUGUGGGGUUGCGGUGGGGGGAGGCGUUAGUUCGUUCUUCUUUCUCUCAAUACCUUUACAAAGUCUCUGUUUCAAAAGAGAGCGCAGAUUAUGCCUGCUACCCCAAGUCCUGAGUCAGAAUUCAAAGGCAAAUAUGGUAGGGUGAUGAGGCAGAAAGGACUUAGGCAGCAGGAGAGCUGUGAUUGGUGGAAGGGGCAGGCAGGAAGAGUUUGGGUUUGGAGACACUGGUUGCUGAGUCAGAACUCCAGCUCUGUCAUUGCCUGUGUGACUUUGGGCAAGUUACAUGUGAUUGUUGGAGCUUCCAUUUCAUUUGCUAAAUAAUUGGGAUCAUAAUACAUACAACGUGGAGUUGUUAGGAUGUCACGAGAGAAUGCACAAGAAGGCAAUGAAGAAGGUGGCAGCCAGACUGAAGGGAAGAGGGGCUGCAAGACUUGGAGUUGGUGAUGGCAACCCUGGAGAGGAAAGGAACAUGGCCAAGAGGUUGGGAUUCAUGCUAGAUCAAGAAGGAAGAACCCAGAAGCAGCCCAGAGGCUUCACAGCUACAUAAGAAAAAAAAGGGGGCCAGGCACGAUGCCUCAUGCCUGUAAUCCAGCACUUUGGGAGCCUGAGGCGGGUGGAUCACGAGGUCAGGAGUUCGAGAGCAGCCUGACCAACACAGUGAAACCCUGUCUCCACUGAGAAUACAAAAAUUAGCCAGGCAUGGUGGCACACGCCUGUAAUCCCAGCUACUCAGGAGGCUGAGGCAGGAGAAUCCAGGAGGCGGAACUGCGGUGGGCAGAGAUCACGCCACUGUACUCUAUUCUGGGUGACAGAGUAAGACUCCAUCUCAAAAAAAAAAAAAGGAUGUGACUAUUGCCAAAACCAACUUGUAAAACAUCACCAUGAUAUGUCACCAAGCUACCUACGAGAUGCUGGGCAUACCUUCGGUGGAAGAAAGAAACAGCUAUACAACUUUGGGUUGCUUCAUUUUUCUCUUGCAUUUCUAGUUCAGGUUGGUUUUGGUGUUCUGUUGUUGUUGUUGUUUUGCAUUCCAAAAAAAAUAAAAAAUAA